CACCAGGUGUUGUACGGAAGUGUUGAAUCACUAUAUUGUACACCUGAAACUAAUAUUACACUCCAUGUUAAAUAACUGGAAUUAAAAUAAAAACUUAAAACAAUUAAUUUGCAGAAAUCUACCUCUGCAUGAUGAAGAUGCUUGAGAUGAGAGGUUAUUACUCAUUUUUUUCCAAAUCUUAAUCAAUUUUAGACUUGCUGAAUAUCACCCACAUGGAGAUGCACUGUGCAAGGCACUGAAUGCAGGUGAGCUACAGGCCCAGCUCUCCUCCCUCCAUUACUCUCCUCUCUUCUACCCCAACGCUGAAGUGGCCUCUUUACACCAGCAGCAUUCAGCUGAGCUUUCAGCCCAGACUUAGCCCCUGCCUCGAGAUUCAGAGAGACAGCUGCUUAUUGUCUCUCUGACCCUGGGUCAACCGCAGUGUGAAAGCAGAUCAUCAGAAGACCAAUAGCAGCCUCAAGCUACGUCACAGUAACUACGUCAUUCACCUCGCUUCACCUCCUCACUUACAGUCUCAUAUCACCACAGAAGAAGGUAAACAAUUGAACUGUGAGCUCUCGGUGAGCAUCUGGAGACGCUAAGAGCCACACCCUACUCUCCCCAGCUGUUUAUUGUUAUCAUUUGCUGGUCCGCUAAGCUCUUCGAUGACUUUAGAAGGCAAGUUAAGUACCGCCAGUUCACAGCUGAGUACCUUGGCUGGCAUGGAGCCGUGCUGGAUGCGAGCUUAUUUGGAAGUCUGGUGUUUGUUCACGGUUUUGUGAUGCUCUUACUUCUGCUUCAAAAACGGCAAUUAAUCAAGACAUCGGCCAAGUCCUCCAGGAUUGCUUUAUGACAUCUAGUUGCCAAGAACCACCUGUGCCCCUGCAACCAUUCACAAUAUUGCAGGAGAUGGGUUACGAUGAUGAUCCUUGCGGGGACUCUACGUGUAACCGUUGUGUCUUCCUUAACAUUCGUAUUCUGUGCCUGAUUCUUUUUGUGACAAACAGCCAUCCAUUAACUGGAUAUUAAAGGUGAAGUCUUUGGCAUUAAAGUAGCAAUGAUAAUAGCAGAUAGGUGCUGUUUAUUCAUUUUUCUUCUUUAAUCUUUAUAAUAUCUAUGACAUAUAGGUACAAUACCCUUGUUUUAUUAAUGAGAAAGUAAAGCACAAAAAGUGCAAAUACAACUGGGAGGAGUGCAAUAUUCUUGGCAGAAUUUUUUCCUUGCUAUUAUUUCCACCUUCAUGUCCCAUAGAAAGCAGUGCGUUCAUCAUCAUAGGAUGUGGUUUGAGAGAGAGAAAUUGCCAGUCUCUGGCUUUUGUGUACCCCCAAACUGAAGUUUAGUAUUGUUAGUGUUUGAGGACAAAAAUCAUGUUAGAAACUGUCCCUUUGAAGGAGAUAUACCAAAUUAGGGAAGAGGAGGAUACCUUACCCUCCAGACGAGAGAAAAAUCCUGCUGGGUUAGGUGUCUUCGUAUGUGUGGUGGAAUGAGAAAUAAAGAAAAAAAAAAAAAAAA
Molecule: long non-coding RNA, 1491 nt
Organism: Ailuropoda melanoleuca (giant panda)
Lineage: Eukaryota; Metazoa; Chordata; Mammalia; Carnivora; Ursidae
Exons: 4
Source: RefSeq, a predicted model, not a curated record